CAGUCGCCGCGGUAAUACGUAGGGUGCAAGCGUUAAUCGGAAUUACUGGGCGUAAAGCGUGCGCAGGCGGUUUGUUAAGACAGAUGUGAAAUCCCCGGGCUCAACCUGGGAACUGCAUUUGUGACUGGCAAGCUAGAGUAUGGCAGAGGGGGGUGGAAUUCCGCGUGUAGCAGUGAAAUGCGUAGAUAUGCGGAGGAACACCGAUGGCGAAGGCAGCCCCCUGGGCCAAUACUGACGCUCAUGCACGAAAGCGUGGGGAGCAAACAGGAUUAGAUACCCGUGUAGUCCCUGUCUCUUAUAC
This 301-nucleotide ribosomal RNA is filed under the name uncultured bacterium. RNAcentral's name for it is "partial 16S ribosomal RNA". It matches the Rfam family "Bacterial small subunit ribosomal RNA", at positions 509 to 807 of the family's 1533-position model. The record is from RNAcentral.